GUGCUUUAUCAGGGACUUGAGGAUGAUCUUCUACCUUCGACAACGGCUAAUUUCUCUAAUAAAGGAAGAACAAGCGAAUUUCCAAGGGAAAGAAGGGAGUCAAGAAGAAAGCGGUAGUUCUUUUUAUCUGUGUGUGACAAGUUUAUGAUAUUUUUAGUCUCUGGAACUCUUUAAGUCAAGAAGAAAGCUGAUCCUUUUUCCAAGAACGAUUGGUAUGAUAUCAAAGCUCCAUCACUAUUCAGCGCCAGAAAUGUUGGUGGUCAUGAGGUUGCUCUUCAUGCUGUUGAGAAGGGUCUGAAAAACUGCCAUCAUCGAAGGUGAUGUGGUUGGUGGAACAUGUGUUAAUCGUGGUUGUGUUCCUUCCAAAGCCCUUCWUGMUGUCAGUSGUCGCAUGUGGGAGCUUCAGAAUGAACACCAUAUGAAGUCUUUUAGUUUACAGUGAAGGACUGAAAGAUUGAGGAUUAUGAGAUUGUCGCUUGUGAGGAAAGUAAUAUUGCUACAGUAAUGUGGUGAAUUGGGUCUGUUUUCCGGACUUCAGGUGAUGGGAACAAUUUCAAUAGAUAUACUUUGUAUCUCAAUGUAACUUGUUGAAGCUUUAUACAAUUUAUAUCUUGCAUGAAUG
This is a long non-coding RNA of Cynara cardunculus var. scolymus (artichoke), 622 nucleotides long. RefSeq lists it as uncharacterized. NCBI's taxonomy places the organism in Eukaryota, Viridiplantae, Streptophyta, Magnoliopsida, Asterales, Asteraceae. The record is from RefSeq and is a predicted model, not a curated record. The transcript is spliced from 4 exons.